This is a long non-coding RNA of Gigantopelta aegis, 318 nucleotides long. RefSeq lists it as uncharacterized. The transcript is spliced from 3 exons. Lineage: Eukaryota; Metazoa; Mollusca; Gastropoda; Neomphalida; Peltospiridae. The record is from RefSeq and is a predicted model, not a curated record.
AUCCGAACCCAGUACCUACCAGCCUGUAGACCGAUGGUCUAACCACGACGCCACCGAGGCUGGUCGAGUUGGUGAAAGUUAGAAAAUAUGAUAUACGGUGAAAAGGUUGCUAUACCAAACAAAAGAAAGACCAAUAAAGUAUGUACUGCAUUUGACGUUGCACCAACACAGGAAACGAAUGUGCAGGCAAAUCAUAGGUCGACAGAUACGUCAUUCAAGUUAUGGAUGAUGAACAUCUAAAACAGUAUUUGCCUCGUGUUGCAGUCACAAAAUUUUGCCAAAAACAUAUCAGUCCCAGACAAACUGAUCUUCACAGCA